RNAcentral lists this transfer RNA (74 nucleotides) under Clostridium sp. RNAcentral describes it as "tRNA-His". It matches the Rfam family "tRNA". From Rfam's summary of the family: Transfer RNA (tRNA) molecules are approximately 80 nucleotides in length. Their secondary structure includes four short double-helical elements and three loops (D, anti-codon, and T loops). RNAcentral also lists the same sequence under 7 other names. Lineage: Bacteria; Bacillati; Bacillota; Clostridia; Eubacteriales; Clostridiaceae. The record is from RNAcentral.
GUGGGUAUAGCGCAGCUGGUUAGCGCGUCAGAUUGUGGCUCUGAAGGCCCAGGGUUCGAAUCCCUGUACCCACC